CCCAAUCAUGAGGGAAAAGGUGGAGAGAGUCCAGUUUGCACCUUAUUCCACUUUCUAUCUCAAUCAGAUGAUUCCAUCUCCGUCUCCUACAUUCUCACCGGAAAUUGCUCCUCCGUGCCGGAGGCGACGGAGCCUCCCAAAACUAACCAAAAUUAACACUAAUGUAUCCCUCCCAUUCUCCUAUCUUCACCUCUCAGCUUGAUUCCGUCUAAAACCUACUGCAUCCAUCAAACCACAAAAAAUACUCCAAGAACCCUAAUCCUUUAAACAAAAAUUAAAUGCAAACGGAGGGGAAUCAAAGCAUGAUACCUUGGGGCUUUGAUUCCUCUCAGCAUCCUCUACAUCUUGGGAACAAGAUUGAAGUGAAAUCAAAGGGAAAGGUGGAAGAUCCUACCUACAUGGUCGAGGUUCACCCUAGAAAGUGUUGAAGCGGUUGAAGAAGAAAUUACAGUGAAAAAUACCAGAGAUAACUACUGUGUAUAUGGUGGAGUGAACAAGACUUGGCUUAGAAUAGCAUCGUCAAGAUUGGCACGACAUUUCAACAUAGCAUGGAAUCAUGGAUCAUGAAGAGGUUUUUGAGACCUAGAAGACUUGGAGGCAUAAAAUGAAAUUUCUUGAGGAUGAAGAAAAAGUAGGAUUAGGAGUCAAUUUGACUUUUGUCAAUUGUUUGACCAAAAGUCAACAGUUGACCAAAAGUCAAUUUUAUGUCGAAAAUGUGAUUUCUUGUGUAGUGUAAUUUGUGAUGUUGAUUUUUUAAUGUAUGAUGGAUGUUUAAUAUGAAAAAAUUGACCUUGAAUUGUAAUGUGCGACUUGUUUCAUAAGAAAAGUGACUUUCCCUCCAA
This is a long non-coding RNA of Lathyrus oleraceus (garden pea), 842 nucleotides long. RefSeq lists it as uncharacterized. The record is from RefSeq and is a predicted model, not a curated record. NCBI's taxonomy places the organism in Eukaryota, Viridiplantae, Streptophyta, Magnoliopsida, Fabales, Fabaceae. The transcript has 2 exons.